GGCCGGGUCCUAUGCAAUGCUGGACAGGCGAACCCCGUCAGGCCCGGAAGGGAGCAGCGGUAGUUUGAACGGUAUGUGCCGUAGGGUGCCUGGCCACU
RNAcentral lists this signal recognition particle RNA (98 nucleotides) under Puniceicoccaceae bacterium MED-G31. RNAcentral describes it as "signal recognition particle sRNA small type". It matches the Rfam family "Bacterial small signal recognition particle RNA". From Rfam's summary of the family: The signal recognition particle (SRP) is a universally conserved ribonucleoprotein involved in the co-translational targeting of proteins to membranes. Archaeal SRP consists of a 7S RNA and homologues of the eukaryotic SRP19 and SRP54 proteins. In most bacteria, the SRP consists of a 4.5S RNA and the Ffh protein (a homologue of the eukaryotic SRP54 protein). The record is from RNAcentral. RNAcentral also lists the same sequence under 2 other names. Lineage: Bacteria; Pseudomonadati; Verrucomicrobiota; Opitutia; Puniceicoccales; Puniceicoccaceae.